UCAGUGAGGCCUUCUGCUUCGGGCGGAGGA
RNAcentral lists this small RNA (30 nucleotides) under Bombyx mori (domestic silkworm). Its description in RNAcentral is "ovarian small RNA-25798". Lineage: Eukaryota; Metazoa; Arthropoda; Insecta; Lepidoptera; Bombycidae. The record is from RNAcentral.